RNAcentral lists this ribosomal RNA (696 nucleotides) under Nocardia sp. YIM 48813. RNAcentral describes it as "bacterial SSU rRNA". It matches the Rfam family "Bacterial small subunit ribosomal RNA", at positions 86 to 796 of the family's 1533-position model. Lineage: Bacteria; Bacillati; Actinomycetota; Actinomycetes; Mycobacteriales; Nocardiaceae. The record is from RNAcentral.
GGUACACGAGCGGCGAACGGGUGAGUAACACGUGGGUGAUCUGCCUUGCACUCUGGGAUAAGCCUGGGAAACUGGGUCUAAUACCGGAUAUGACCUGUCUCUGCAUGGGGGUUGGUGGAAAGAUUUAUCGGUGCGAGAUGGGCCCGCGGCCUAUCAGCUUGUUGGUGGGGUAAUGGCCUACCAAGGCGACGACGGGUAGCCGGCCUGAGAGGGCGACCGGCCACACUGGGACUGAGACACGGCCCAGACUCCUACGGGAGGCAGCAGUGGGGAAUAUUGCACAAUGGGCGGAAGCCUGAUGCAGCGACGCCGCGUGAGGGAUGACGGCCUUCGGGUUGUAAACCUCUUUCGACAGGGACGAAGCGCAAGUGACGGUACCUGUAGAAGAAGCACCGGCCAACUACGUGCCAGCAGCCGCGGUAAUACGUAGGGUGCGAGCGUUGUCCGGAAUUACUGGGCGUAAAGAGCUUGUAGGCGGUUCGUCGCGUCGAUUGUGAAAACUUGCAGCUCAACUGCAAGCUUGCAGUCGAUACGGGCGGACUAGAGUACUUCAGGGGAGACUGGAAUUCCUGGUGUAGCGGUGAAAUGCGCAGAUAUCAGGAGGAACACCGGUGGCGAAGGCGGGUCUCUGGGAAGUAACUGACGCUGAGAAGCGAAAGCGUGGGUAGCGAACAGGAUUAGAUACCCUGGUAGUCC